This 505-nucleotide ribosomal RNA is filed under the name uncultured bacterium. RNAcentral describes it as "partial 16S ribosomal RNA". It matches the Rfam family "Bacterial small subunit ribosomal RNA", at positions 28 to 507 of the family's 1533-position model. The record is from RNAcentral.
GACGAACGCUGGCGGCGUGCCUAAUACAUGCAAGUAGAACGCACAGUUUAUACCGUAGCUUGCUACACCAUAGACUGUGAGUUGCGAACGGGUGAGUAACGCGUAGGUAACCUGCCUGGUAGCGGGGGAUAACUAUGGGAAACGAUAGCUAAUACCGCAUAAUAUUAAUUAUUGCAUGAUAAUUGAUUGAAAGAUGCAACUGCAUCACUACCAGAUGGACCUGCGUUGUAUUAGCUAGUAGGUGAGGUAACGGCUCACCUAGGCGACGAUACAUAGCCGACCUGAGGGGGUGAUCGGCCACACUGGGACUGAGACACGGCCCAGACUCCUACGGGAGGCAGCAGUAGGGGAUCUUCGGCAAUGGACGAAAGUCUGACCGAGCAACGCCGCGUGGGUGAAGAAGGUUUUCGGAUCGUAAAGCUCUGUUGUAAGAGAAGAACGGGUGUGAGAGUGGAAAGUUCACACUGUGACGGUAUCUUACCAGAAAGGGACGGCUAACUACGUG